Molecule: ribosomal RNA, 1332 nt
Filed under: metagenome
Description: bacterial LSU rRNA
Rfam family: Bacterial large subunit ribosomal RNA
Source: RNAcentral
AAGUGAGUGAUACCCUGCUUCCAGGAAAAGCCACUAAGCUUCAGCUGCACACGACCGUACCGCAAACCGACACUGGUGCGCGAGAUGAGUAUUCUAAGGCGCUUGAGAGAACUGCGGAGAAGGAACUCGGCAAAUUGAUACCGUAACUUCGGGAGAAGGUAUGCCCUAAGUAAGUGAAGUUGUACAAAUGGAGCUGAACAGGGUUGCAAAAAAUCGGUGGCUGCGACUGUUUAAUAAAAACACAGCACUCUGCAAACACGAAAGUGGACGUAUAGGGUGUGACGCCUGCCCGGUGCUGGGAGAUUAAAUGAUGGGGUGCAAGCUCUUGAUUGAAGUCCCAGUAAACGGCGGCCGUAACGAUAACGGUCCUAAGGUAGCGAAAUUCCUUGUCGGGUAAGUUCCGACCUGCACGAAUGGCGUAACGAUGGCCACACUGUCUCCUCCGCAGACUCAGCGAAGUUGAAAUGUUUGUGAUGAUGCAAUCUCCCCGCGGAAAGACGGAAAGACCCCAUGAACCUUUACUGUAGCUUUGUAUUGGACUUUGAACGGAUCUGUGUAGGAUAGGUGGGAGGCUUUGAAGUGAGGUCGCUAGAUCUCAUGGAGCCAACGUUGAAAUACCACCCUGGUGCGUUUGAGGUUCUAACCUGGGUCCCUUAUCGGGAUCGGGGACAGUGCAUGGUAGGCAGUUUGACUGGGGCGGUCUCCUCCCAAAGCGUAACGGAGGAGUUCGAAGGUACGCUAGGUACGGUCGGACAUCGUGCUAAUAGUGCAAUGGCAUAAGCGUGCUUAACUGCGAGACUGACAAGUCGAGCAGAUGCGAAAGCAGGACAUAGUGAUCCGGUGGUUCUGUAUGGAAGGGCCAUCGCUCAACGGAUAAAAGGUACUCUGGGGAUAACAGGCUGAUACCGCCCAAGAGUUCAUAUCGACGGCGGUGUUUGGCACCUCGAUGUCGGCUCAUCUCAUCCUGGGGCUGUAGCCGGUCCCAAGGGUAUGGCUGUUCGCCAUUUAAAGAGGUACGUGAGCUGGGUUUAAAACGUCGUGAGACAGUUUGGUCCCUAUCUUCCGUGGGCGCUGCAGAUUUGAGGAAGCCUGCUCCUAGUACGAGAGGACCGGAGUGGACACACCUCUGGUGUACCUGUUGUCACGCCAGUGGCAUCGCAGGGUAGCUAAGUGUGGAAGGGAUAACCGCUGAAAGCAUCUAAGCGGGAAACUCGUUCCAAGAUGAGGUCUGCCGGGGGCUCGACCCCCCUGAAGGGUCGUUCUAGACCAGGACGUUGAUAGGCUGGGUGUGCAAGAGCAGUAAUGCUUUGAGCUAACCAGUACUAAUUGCCC